RNAcentral lists this unclassified non-coding RNA (263 nucleotides) under Hevea brasiliensis (rubber tree). Lineage: Eukaryota; Viridiplantae; Streptophyta; Magnoliopsida; Malpighiales; Euphorbiaceae. The record is from RNAcentral.
AGAUCGUAGUCUUAACCUAGGUGGAAUGAAGGAAGCAAGUCUGUGUUGCUCAUCCUUGUUAGUUUGGGACUGAGGCUUUAUUGAGUUGAAUAUUAGUGUGUUAUAAAACAGAACCUAUGUAGAACUUUUAUGAUGAUCAGCUUUUUAACUUUGGGAUGCUUACUUCCAAAAAUUUUGUGGAUAUCAUUCAAACCAAAGUGCAUCUUUAGGCCUUUAUGUUAAUGCUGUGAUUAUUGACUUUAAACAAUGUGAAACAACUGAUU